GGGCCUGUAUUGGUUUCGACAGCAUAGGUUACGGUAGGUGGAAGCAUGCAGUGCGUUGGGUAAUUAGCACUUAAAUCUGAAUACUCAAACUUUAAAUGGCAAUACACAGUAUGCCAUGGCUGCCUAAUUAGUAAUUAGUCAGUCAUUCGGGCCGCCGCACAGGUUUACCUGUUACCAGGUGCCGCCGCCGACUCAAAACAAACACAGGUUGCUGCAAUAGAAGGCUGUGACUAUUGCAAAAGAAUAUACAGCUAAGCAUUGAAUUGGUUUGUUCAUUUCCGGUUCAUUGCCGACAAUUAAUAAUGAAAUAAGCAUGUAGAAGACUUAUGGUAAAUAUGUUUGGACAGGAGUUCGAUUCUCCUCAGGUCCACCU
Molecule: transfer-messenger RNA, 373 nt
Filed under: Bacteroidota bacterium
Lineage: Bacteria; Pseudomonadati; Bacteroidota
Rfam family: transfer-messenger RNA
About the family: Bacterial tmRNA, also known as 10Sa RNA or SsrA, is named for its dual tRNA and mRNA-like properties. Its role is to liberate the mRNA from a stalled ribosome.
Source: RNAcentral